CUAAGAAUAUUCCGCAAUGGGCGAAAGCCUGACGGAGCGACGCCGCGUGUACGAAGAAGGCCGAAAGGUUGUAAAGUACUUUUGCGGGCGAAGAAUAAGCAGGGCAGGGAAUGGCCUUGCGAUGACGUUAGUCCGUGAAUAAGCCCCGGCUAAUUACGUGCCAGCAGCCGCGGUAACACGUAAGGGGCGAGCGUUGUUCGGAAUUAUUGGGCGUAAAGGGCGCGUAGGCGGUUACGCAAGUCUGGCGUGAAAGGCAAGGGCUCAACCCUUGGACUGCGUUAGAAACUGUGAAACUAGAGUCAUGGAGGGGGAGUUGGAAUUCCUGGUGUAGGGGUGAAAUCUGUAGAUAUCAGGAAGAACACCGGUGGCGAAGGCGAACUUCUAGCCAAUGACUGACGCUGAGGCGCGAAAGUGCGGGGAGCAAACAGGAUUAGAUACCCUGGUAGUCCGCACUAUAAACGAUGUGCACUAGGUGUUGGGCCGAGCGGUUCAGUGCCGGAGCGAACGUGAUAAGUGCACCGCCU
RNAcentral lists this ribosomal RNA (524 nucleotides) under uncultured bacterium. RNAcentral's name for it is "bacterial SSU rRNA". It matches the Rfam family "Bacterial small subunit ribosomal RNA", at positions 355 to 874 of the family's 1533-position model. The record is from RNAcentral.